This is a long non-coding RNA of Ictalurus punctatus (channel catfish), 672 nucleotides long. Lineage: Eukaryota; Metazoa; Chordata; Actinopteri; Siluriformes; Ictaluridae. The record is from Ensembl.
GAGUAACAGAAUGGUGUUGAGGUCAUUAAUACACGGUUCUGUUAUUAACACUAAGGAAAAGGCAGUUUCUCACCGUAAACACUGACGCCAAUAUCCGAUCUUUAAUCCGAUCUCAUUAAUGGAGCGAAACACAGACUGGUUCAAACUGCAGCUCUGACAGUCCUACAUCUCCAUCUGAAAACAAGAACAAGUUAAUCUUCUACUAGCUUUGUGCCUGCAUGUGACUCCUCAUGGGAUUGCCUCAGCGGGCAUGUCGUUUCUGAGAGAUCUCAUUCUCACUAAUCUGAGUCACUGGAUUUAAUGAAAUUGGUGUUUUUCUGAUGCCAUGAUUUCAGCUCCACCACUGAGAUGGGUUUUACUGAUUCUCUUUCCGACUCUCAGCCAUCAGACGUCUGGAACAUUUUCAGUGAAGGUUCAGUCUCCAGCCUCAGGGUUCCUUGGUUCCUCUGUGUCUCUACACUGUGCUCUUGUAAACAACAUGGAUGCUCGAAACCUGGAAGUGAGCUGGUACCGUCCCAAAAUGCAAAACACCCCGAUCCUGUCCUACAAGAACACACAGAUCCAGAGUCCUGUAGAUGUUCAGUACCAGCGCAGAGUGUUCCUGUUAGGAGAACUGGAGAAAGGAGAUGUCUCUCUGAAGCUGGGAGAACCUGACGCUAGCAGAUAGGUAGA